Molecule: non-coding RNA, 140 nt
Organism: Triticum urartu
Lineage: Eukaryota; Viridiplantae; Streptophyta; Magnoliopsida; Poales; Poaceae
Source: Rfam
GUUAUACUCCCUCCGUCUCAAAAUUCUUGUCUUACAUUUGUCCAAAUAUGGAUGUAUUUAGUUACGUUUUAGGUGUUAGAUACAUUAGUAUCUGUCUAGAAAAAUUUAAGAAAAGAAUUUUAGGACGGAUGCAGUAUAUA